RNAcentral lists this ribosomal RNA (587 nucleotides) under Hirsutella nodulosa. Its description in RNAcentral is "eukaryotic LSU rRNA". It matches the Rfam family "Eukaryotic large subunit ribosomal RNA", at positions 49 to 656 of the family's 3401-position model. The record is from RNAcentral. Lineage: Eukaryota; Fungi; Ascomycota; Sordariomycetes; Hypocreales; Ophiocordycipitaceae.
AGCGGAGGAAAAGAAACCAACAGGGAUUGCCCCAGUAACGGCGAGUGAAGCGGCAACAGCUCAAAUUUGAAAUCUGGCGCCCCCGCGGCGCCCGAGUUGUAAUUUGCAGAGGAUGCUUUUGGCGCGGCGCCUUCCGAGUUCCCUGGAACGGGACGCCAUAGAGGGUGAGAGCCCCGUCUGGUUGGACGCCUAGCCUCUGUAAAGCUCCUUCGACGAGUCGAGUAGUUUGGGAAUGCUGCUCUAAAUGGGAGGUAUAUGUCUUCUAAAGCUAAAUACCGGCCAGAGACCGAUAGCGCACAAGUAGAGUGAUCGAAAGAUGAAAAGCACUUUGAAAAGAGGGUUAAACAGUACGUGAAAUUGUUGAAAGGGAAGCGCUUGUGACCAGACUCGGGCGUGGCGGAUCGUCCGGCGUUCUCGCCGGUGCACUCCGCCUCGCCCGGGCCAGCAUCAGUUCGCCGCGGGGGAUAAAGGCGUCGGGAACGUGGCUCCCCCGGGAGUGUUAUAGCCCGUCGCGCAAUGCCCCGUGGCGGACUGAGGUUCGCGCUCCGCAAGGAUGCUGGCGUAAUGGUCACCAGUGACCCGUCUUG